GAUGAACGCUGGCGGCGUGCCUAAUACAUGCAAGUCGAGCGAACGGACGAGAAGCUUGCUUCUCUGAUGUUAGCGGCGGACGGGUGAGUAACACGUGGAUAACCUACCUAUAAGACUGGGAUAACUUCGGGAAACCGGGGCUAAUACCGGAUAAUAUUUUGAACCGCAUGGUUCAAAAGUGAAAGACGGUCUUGCUGUCACUUAUAGAUGGAUCCGCGCUGCAUUAGCUAGUUGGUAAGGUAACGGCUUACCAAGGCAACUAUGCAUAGCCGACCUGAGAGGGUGAUCGGCCACACUGGAACUGAGACACGGUCCAGACUCCUACGGGAGGCAGCAGUAGGGAAUCUUCCGCAAUGGGCGAAAGCCUGACGGAGCAACGCCGCGUGAGUGAUGAAGGUCUUCGGAUCGUAAAACUCUGUUAUUAGGGAAGAACAUAUGUGUAAGUAACUGUGCACAUCUUGACGGUACCUAAUCAGAAAGCCACGGCUAACUACGUG
RNAcentral lists this ribosomal RNA (497 nucleotides) under uncultured bacterium. RNAcentral's name for it is "partial 16S ribosomal RNA". It matches the Rfam family "Bacterial small subunit ribosomal RNA", at positions 28 to 507 of the family's 1533-position model. The record is from RNAcentral.